Molecule: ribosomal RNA, 776 nt
Filed under: uncultured bacterium
Lineage: Bacteria
Description: bacterial SSU rRNA
Rfam family: Bacterial small subunit ribosomal RNA
Source: RNAcentral
AUUUACAUUUGAGUGAGUGGCGAACUGGUGAGUAACACGUGGGAAACCUGCCCAGAAGCGGGGGAUAACACCUGGAAACAGAUGCUAAUACCGCAUAACAACUUGGACCGCAUGGUCCGAGCUUGAAAGAUGGCUUCGGCUAUCACUUUUGGAUGGUCCCGCGGCGUAUUAGCUAGAUGGUGGGGUAACGGCUCACCAUGGCAAUGAUACGUAGCCGACCUGAGAGGGUAAUCGGCCACAUUGGGACUGAGACACGGCCCAAACUCCUACGGGAGGCAGCAGUAGGGAAUCUUCCACAAUGGACGAAAGUCUGAUGGAGCAACGCCGCGUGAGUGAAGAAGGGUUUCGGCUCGUAAAACUCUGUUGUUAAAGAAGAACAUAUCUGAGAGUAACUGUUCAGGUAUUGACGGUAUUUAACCAGAAAGCCACGGCUAACUACGUGCCAGCAGCCGCGGUAAUACGUAGGUGGCAAGCGUUGUCCGGAUUUAUUGGGCGUAAAGCGAGCGCAGGCGGUUUUUUAAGUCUGAUGUGAAAGCCUUCGGCUCAACCGAAGAAGUGCAUCGGAAACUGGGAAACUUGAGUGCAGAAGAGGACAGUGGAACUCCAUGUGUAGCGGUGAAAUGCGUAGAUAUAUGGAAGAACACCAGUGGCGAAGGCGGCUGUCUGGUCUGUAACUGACGCUGAGGCUCGAAAGUAUGGGUAGCAAACAGGAUUAGAUACCCUGGUAGUCCAUACCGUAAACGAUGAAUGCUAAGUGUUGGAGGGUUUCCGCCCUU